AAAGGAAUUGACGGGGGCCCGCACAAGCAGCGGAGCAUGUGGUUUAAUUCGAAGCAACGCGAAGAACCUUACCAAGGCUUGACAUCCAACUAAGCCCAUGGAAACAUGGGGUGCCUUCGGGCAAGUUGAGACAGGUGGUGCAUGGUUGUCGUCAGCUCGUGUCGUGAGAUGUUGGGUUAAGUCCCGCAACGAGCGCAACCCCUAUUACCAGUUACCAGCACGUAAAGGUGGGAACUCUGGUGAGACUGCCGGGGACAACUCGGAGGAAGGUGGGGAUGACGUCAAAUCAUCAUGCCCCUUAUGUCUUGGGCUACACACGUGCUACAAUGGCUGUAACAAAGGGAAGCGAAGUCGUAAGGCUGAGCGGAUCUCAGAAAAGCAGUCCCAGUUCGGAUUGUGGGCUGCAACCCGCCCACAUGAAGUCGGAGUUGCUAGUAAUCGCGGAUCAGAAUGCCGCGGUGAAUACGUUCCCGGGCCUUGUACACACCGCCCGU
RNAcentral lists this ribosomal RNA (494 nucleotides) under uncultured bacterium. RNAcentral describes it as "bacterial SSU rRNA". It matches the Rfam family "Bacterial small subunit ribosomal RNA", at positions 903 to 1397 of the family's 1533-position model. The record is from RNAcentral.